CCCUUACUUGGAUCUGUGGUUAGUAUUUAAAUCGUAGAUUGUAUUUAGUUAGUUUUUAAUACCAACUGCAGAUUCAAGUGAGGG
Molecule: microRNA precursor, 84 nt
Organism: Cercocebus atys (sooty mangabey)
Lineage: Eukaryota; Metazoa; Chordata; Mammalia; Primates; Cercopithecidae
Source: Ensembl